Molecule: long non-coding RNA, 220 nt
Filed under: Sorghum bicolor (sorghum)
Lineage: Eukaryota; Viridiplantae; Streptophyta; Magnoliopsida; Poales; Poaceae
Description: long non-coding RNA (SBIC_LNC003769)
Source: RNAcentral
GGGGGACAGCCGGGCAAGGAGCUGACGGAUCGGCAACGUGACUCAAGGUCACGUGCGACGCGACGCGACGCGAGCCCAGGCCUUGUUUAGGCCUGGUUUAGUUCGUGAAAUUUUUGGAUUUCGCUACAGUAACACUUUCGUUUGUUUGUGGCAAAUAUUGUCUAAUCGUAGACUAACUAGGGUCAAAAGAUUCGUCUCGCGAUUUUCAGCAAAACUGUGU